Molecule: RNase P RNA, 289 nt
Filed under: Nitrososphaerota archaeon
Lineage: Archaea; Thermoproteati; Nitrososphaerota
Also listed under: 1 other name
Description: RNase P RNA component
Rfam family: Archaeal RNase P
About the family: Ribonuclease P (RNase P) is a ubiquitous endoribonuclease, found in archaea, bacteria and eukarya as well as chloroplasts and mitochondria. Its best characterised activity is the generation of mature 5'-ends of tRNAs by cleaving the 5'-leader elements of precursor-tRNAs.
Source: RNAcentral
ACGGGCAACUGGGCGGGCCUCGGGGAACUCCCGUGGAAGUUCCUCCCUCCCGCGGUGGGCCCGGUGCCGAGAGGCACGAAGGGAGACCUUCGGCAACGCCACAGAAACGGAACCCCUCCAGUCGGAUGCGGGUUGACGCGGGAAGUACCGCCGACGACGACUGGAGAGCGGAUGAAACGGGCGACCCGGGCGGAGAAAGUGGCCGGGGCCGUGAGCGCCACCGCUGAGCCCCGUGGACACGAGAAGACGGAUCCCGCCUAAAACAGAAGGAGGACUACGAGUUGCCCGC